GAUGAACGCUGACAGAAUGCUUAACACAUGCAAGUCUUUGGCGAAGCUGUGCUUGCACAGCCUAGCCAAGGCGGACGGGUGAGUAACGCGUAAGGAACUUGCCCUGCAGUCAGGGAUAACAGACGGAAACGACUGAUAAGACCUGGUAAAGUCAGGCGGACUCAUGUCCAGCCUGAUGAAAAGAGAUGCUGCAGGAGAGCCUUGCGUCCUAUUAGCUUGUUGGUGGGGUAACGGCCCACCAAGGCGAUGAUAGGUAGCCGGCCUGAGAGGGUGGACGGCCAAAAGGGGACUGAGAUACGGCCCUUACUCCUACGGGAGGAAGCAGUGGGGAAUAUUGGAAAAUGGGGGCAACCCUGAUCCAGCAAUUCUGUGUGAACGAUGAAGGUUUUCGGAUUGUAAAGUGCUUUCAGCAGGGAAGAAAAAAUGACGGUACCUGAAGAAGAAGCGACGGCUAAAUACGUG
RNAcentral lists this ribosomal RNA (462 nucleotides) under uncultured bacterium. RNAcentral describes it as "partial 16S ribosomal RNA". It matches the Rfam family "Bacterial small subunit ribosomal RNA", at positions 28 to 507 of the family's 1533-position model. The record is from RNAcentral.